This 386-nucleotide ribosomal RNA is filed under the name uncultured bacterium. RNAcentral's name for it is "bacterial SSU rRNA". It matches the Rfam family "Bacterial small subunit ribosomal RNA", at positions 790 to 1167 of the family's 1533-position model. The record is from RNAcentral.
GUAGUCCACGCCGUAAACGAUGAGUGCUAGGUGUUGGGGGUCAAACCUCGGUGCCGCAAGCAAACGCAAUAAGUACUCCGCCUGGGGAGUACGUGCACAAGCAUGAAACUCAAAGGAAUUGACGGGGACCCGCACAAGCAGCGGAGCAUGUGGUUUAAUUCGUGGCUACGCGAAGAACCUUACCAGGACUUGACAUAUAUAUGAGGGGACAUAGAGAUAUGAAACCAGUAAGAGCUUGCUCUUAACAUAUAUACAGGUGGUGCAUGGUUGUCGUCAGCUCGUGUCGUGAGAUGUUGGGUUAAGUCCCGCAACGAGCGCAACCCUUGCAAUUAGUUACUAACAGAUAAAGCUGAGGACUCUAAUUGGACUGCCGAUGAUAAAUCGGA